This 253-nucleotide ribosomal RNA is filed under the name uncultured bacterium. Its description in RNAcentral is "partial 16S ribosomal RNA". It matches the Rfam family "Bacterial small subunit ribosomal RNA", at positions 524 to 776 of the family's 1533-position model. The record is from RNAcentral.
UACGAAGGGGGCUAGCGUUGUUCGGAUUUACUGGGCGUAAAGCGCACGUAGGCGGCUUGUUAAGUCAGGGGUGAAAUCCUGGAGCUCAACUCCAGAACUGCCUUUGAUACUGGCAAUCUAGAGUCCGGAAGAGGUGAGUGGAACUCCUAGUGUAGAGGUGGAAUUCGUAGAUAUUAGGAAGAACACCAGUGGCGAAGGCGGCUCACUGGUCCGGUACUGACGCUGAGGUGCGAAAGCGUGGGGAGCGAUCCGG